Molecule: long non-coding RNA, 776 nt
Organism: Austrofundulus limnaeus
Lineage: Eukaryota; Metazoa; Chordata; Actinopteri; Cyprinodontiformes; Rivulidae
Exons: 2
Source: RefSeq, a predicted model, not a curated record
GGAUGGAGACUCAUCUAGUUUGCUGAAUAAAUACUGUAUCUAACACAUACUGUAAUAACCUGUUGAUAAACAUUUUGUUGCAGGAACUGGGCUCUCAGACACUGAAUGUUCUAACUGCAGCAGAGGGACGUUCUCAGAUGGGACGUUUCCAUCCUGUCAGCCUCACACACAAUGUGAAACUCUGAUGAAAGCAGGAUCAGCUUCAGCCGAUGCAGAGUGUUCUGGAAAAGGUUCAGAUGUGGGAGCUGUGUUCAGCAUUUUCUUACGUAUAUUAUUUUUUGUUGCCAUUUUCUGGUGUAUUCUGCGGGUAAUGGUUGAAAUAAAUAAGAGACUGAGAAGAGAAAAUGAACGUUUUUGGCAGAAAGUAACAGAACUUUUGUUCAGCCAGGACAAAUCUUGAUGGUUUUUAUUGUUUUGUUUUUCAGUUUUAUUUUAUUUCUGGAUCAGAAUGUUUUGACUGCAGCCUGAUGUCAAACAUGGCUGCCCAAAUCAUAAUCCAAUAUUUUUAUUUUUCAAAUCAUGUUUUUUGCAUUAGAUCUUUUUAAUCCAGAGAAUUUAUAAGUAACUUAAAAAUAGUGAAAACUCUGACUCUGAAUGAGUCUUUUUUAUGAGAUGAAAUCCAUAUGUAGUGUUUUAUACUGACCAGCUUCAUGCAGACUGAGGGAGAGACACUUUAUCAACACACACACAGGUUCAAUUUUAUAUCCUCGUGGGGACCAUGGAUUGACUUCCAUUCAUUUUCUGGUAAUUGUUUAGCCUAACCCUGACCGUUUACC